Molecule: small nuclear RNA, 144 nt
Organism: Zalophus californianus (California sea lion)
Lineage: Eukaryota; Metazoa; Chordata; Mammalia; Carnivora; Otariidae
Gene: U4
Rfam family: U4 spliceosomal RNA
About the family: U4 small nuclear RNA (U4 snRNA) is a component of the major U2-dependent spliceosome. The structure of U4 snRNA from yeast and human has been reported.
Source: Ensembl
AGCUUUGUGCAGUGGCAGUAUCGUGGGCACUGAGGUUUAUCCGAGGUGCGAUUAUUGCUAAUUGAAACAAAAGUUUUAUUCUUUUAAAACAAAAUUCAUAUCACAUGUUUGAUUUGUUUUCUUUUUAGUACCAGCUGUGGGGCU